UGCAGUCGAGCGGAACGAGUUAUCUGAACCUUCGGGGGACGAUAACGGCGUCGAGCGGCGGACGGGUGAGUAAUGCCUAGGAAAUUGCCCUGAUGUGGGGGAUAACCAUUGGAAACGAUGGCUAAUACCGCAUAACACCUUCGGGUCAAAGAGGGGGACCUUCGGGCCUCUCGCGUCAGGAUAUGCCUAGGUGGGAUUAGCUAGUUGGUGAGGUAAUGGCUCACCAAGGCGACGAUCCCUAGCUGGUCUGAGAGGAUGAUCAGCCACACUGGAACUGAGACACGGUCCAGACUCCUACGGGAGGCAGCAGUGGGGAAUAUUGCACAAUGGGCGCAAGCCUGAUGCAGCCAUGCCGCGUGUGUGAAGAAGGCCUUCGGGUUGUAAAGCACUUUCAGUCGUGAGGAAGGUAGUGUAGUUAAUAGCUGCAUUAUUUGACGUUAGCGACAGAAGAAGCACCGGCUAACUCCGUGCCAGCAGCCGCGGUAAUACGGAGGGUGCGAGCGUUAAUCGGAAUUACUGGGCGUAAAGCGCAUGCAGGUGGUUUGUUAAGUCAGAUGUGAAAGCCCGGGGCUCAACCUCGGAAUAGCAUUUGAAACUGGCAGGCUAGAGUACUGUAGAGGGGGGUAGAAUUUCA
Molecule: ribosomal RNA, 634 nt
Filed under: uncultured Vibrio sp.
Lineage: Bacteria; Pseudomonadati; Pseudomonadota; Gammaproteobacteria; Vibrionales; Vibrionaceae
Description: bacterial SSU rRNA
Rfam family: Bacterial small subunit ribosomal RNA
Source: RNAcentral